ACGCUAGCGGCAGGCCUAACACAUGCAAGUCGAGGGAGGAGCCUUCGGGCUUCGACCGGCGUACGGGUGCGUAACGCGUAUACAAUCUGCCUUUCACAUAGGGAUAGCCCGAAGAAAUUUGGAUUAAUACCUAAUGGUAUACAGAUGUGGCAUCACAUUUAUAUUAAAGCUGAGGCGGUGAAAGAUGAGUAUGCGUUCUAUUAGCUAGUUGGAGAGGUAACGGCUCCCCAAGGCUACGAUAGAUAGGGGUUCUGAGAGGGAUAUCCCCCACACUGGUACUGAGAUACGGACCAGACUCCUACGGGAGGCAGCAGUGAGGAAUAUUGGACAAUGGUCGGAAGACUGAUCCAGCCAUGCCGCGUGCAGGAAGACGGCCUUAUGGGUUGUAAACUGCUUUUGCAGGGGAAGAAUAAGGAGUACGUGUACUUUGAUGACGGUACUCUGCGAAUAAGCAUCGGCUAACUCCGUGCCAGCAGCCGCGGUAAUACGGAGGAUGCGAGCGUUAUCCGGAAUCAUUGGGUUUAAAGGGUCCGUAGGCGGGCUAAUAAGUCAGAGGUGAAAGCGCUCAGCUCAACUGAGCAACUGCCUUUGAAACUGUUAGUCUUGAAUGGUUGUGAAGUAGUUGGAAUGUGUAGUGUAGCGGUGAAAUGCUUAGAUAUUACACAGAACACCGAUAGCGAAGGCAUAUUACUAACAAUUAAUUGACGCUGAUGGACGAAAGCGUGGGGAGCGAACAGGAUCAGAUACCCUGGUAGUCCACGCUGUAAACGAUGGAUACUAGCUGUUUGGUUGUAAGACUGAGUGGCUAAGCGAAAGUGAUAAGUAUCCCACCUGGGGAGUACGCACGCAAGUGUGAAACUCAAAGGAAUUGACGGGGGCCCGCACAAGCGGUGGAGCAUGUGGUUUAAUUCGAUGAUACGCGAGGAACCUUACC
This 934-nucleotide ribosomal RNA is filed under the name uncultured bacterium. RNAcentral's name for it is "bacterial SSU rRNA". It matches the Rfam family "Bacterial small subunit ribosomal RNA", at positions 33 to 975 of the family's 1533-position model. The record is from RNAcentral.